GGCCAGGGCUACACACGUGCUACAAUGGUCGGUACAAAGGGUUGCCAAGCCGCGAGGUGGAGCUAAUCCCAUAAAACCGAUCGUAGUCCGGAUCGCAGUCUGCAACUCGACUGCGUGAAGUCGGAAUCGCUAGUAAUCGUGAAUCAGAAUGUCACGGUGAAUACGUUCCCGGGCCUUGUACACACCGCCCGUCACACCAUGGGAGUGGGUUGCUCCAGAAGUAGCUAGUCUAACCGCAAGGGGGACGGUUACCACGGAGUGAUUCAUGACUGGGGUGAAGUCGUAACAAGGUAGCCGUAGGGGAACCUGCGGUUGGAUCACCUCC
Molecule: ribosomal RNA, 325 nt
Filed under: Pseudomonas aeruginosa
Lineage: Bacteria; Pseudomonadati; Pseudomonadota; Gammaproteobacteria; Pseudomonadales; Pseudomonadaceae
Description: bacterial SSU rRNA
Rfam family: Bacterial small subunit ribosomal RNA
Source: RNAcentral